ACGCUCGACACCUACGGGAGGCAGCAGUGGGGAAUAUUGCACAAUGGAGGAAACUCUGAUGCAGCGAUGCCGCGUGAGGGAAGAAGGUUUUCGGAUUGUAAACCUCUGUCUUUGGGGACGAUAAUGACGGUACCCAAGGAGGAAGCUCCGGCUAACUACGUGCCAACAGCCGNGGUAAUCUGAGCGGGCUGGCAAGGC
Molecule: ribosomal RNA, 198 nt
Filed under: uncultured bacterium
Lineage: Bacteria
Description: partial 16S ribosomal RNA
Rfam family: Bacterial small subunit ribosomal RNA
Source: RNAcentral